CACUUUUGGCAACGGAUCACUUGGCUCUCGCAUCGAUGAAGAACGCAGCGAAAUGCGAUAAGUAAUGUGAAUUGCAGAAUGCAGUGAAUCAUCGAAUCUUUGAACGCACCUUGCACCCGUUGGAACUCCGAAGGGUAUGCUCGUUUGAGUGUCAUUGUACUCUCACACUCCUCUGAUCCUUUGGAUUCGGGGAGCGGUGGACCUGGGUGUUUGCUGCUUUCCUUGUGGCUCACCUCGAAUGCGUCAGUGCACCUCUUGGUUGGACAUAGUACGGCGUGAUAAGUGUCUUCGCCGGCACCUCGCAAGAGGGUGGCCGAUCGAGAGCUCUGUGCUUUCAAACCGUCUUCGGACACUUUCUGACAACUUGACCUCAAAUCGGGUAGGACUACCCGCUGAACUUAAGCAUAUCAAUAAGCGGAGGCU
This 423-nucleotide unclassified non-coding RNA is filed under the name uncultured Exidiaceae. RNAcentral's name for it is "sequence contains ITS2". The stretch from base 1 to 154 matches the Rfam family "5.8S ribosomal RNA". Lineage: Eukaryota; Fungi; Basidiomycota; Agaricomycetes; Auriculariales. The record is from RNAcentral.